Molecule: ribosomal RNA, 505 nt
Filed under: uncultured bacterium
Lineage: Bacteria
Description: partial 16S ribosomal RNA
Rfam family: Bacterial small subunit ribosomal RNA
Source: RNAcentral
GACGAACGCUGGCGGCGUGCCUAAUACAUGCAAGUAGAACGCACAGUUUAUACCGUAGCUUGCUACACCAUAGACUGUGAGUUGCGAACGGGUGAGUAACGCGUAGGUAACCUGCCUGGUAGCGGGGGAUAACUAUUGGAAACGAUAGCUAAUACCGCAUAAUAUUAAUUAUUGCAUGAUAAUUAAUUGAAAGGGGCAAUUGCACCACUACCAGAUGGACCUGCGUUGUAUUAGCUAGUAGGUGAGGUAACGGCUCACCUAGGCGACGAUACAUAGCCGACCUGAGAGGGUGAUCGGCCACACUGGGACUGAGACACGGCCCAGACUCCUACGGGAGGCAGCAGUAGGGAAUCUUCGGCAAUGGACGAAAGUCUGACCGAGCAACGCCGCGUGAGUGAAGAAGGUUUUCGGAUCGUAAAGCUCUGUUGUAAGAGAAGAACGGGUGUGAGAGUGGAAAGUUCACACUGUGACGGUAUCUUACCAGAAAGGGACGGCUAACUACGUG